GUAGGUGGCAAGCGUUGUCCGGAAUUAUUGGGCGUAAAGCGCGCGCAGGCGGUUCUUUAAGUCUGAUGUGAAAGCCCACGGCUCAACCGUGGAGGGUCAUUGGAAACUGGAGAACUUGAGUACAGAAGAGGAAAGCGGAAUUCCACGUGUAGCGGUGAAAUGCGUAGAGAUGUGGAGGAACACCAGUGGCGAAGGCGGCUUUCUGGUCUGUAACCGACGCUGAGGCGCGAAAGCGUGGGGAGCAAACAGGAUUAGAUACCCUGGUAGUCCACGCCGUAAACGAUGAGUGCUAAGUGUUAGGGGGGUUUCCGCCCCCCUUAGUGCUGCAGCUAACGCAUUAAGCACUCCGCCUGGGAGUACGGCCGCAAGGCUG
This 373-nucleotide ribosomal RNA is filed under the name uncultured organism. RNAcentral describes it as "partial 16S ribosomal RNA". It matches the Rfam family "Bacterial small subunit ribosomal RNA", at positions 527 to 896 of the family's 1533-position model. The record is from RNAcentral.